GGCCCUAUCGUCUAAUGGUUAGGACUUCGCCCUCUCACGGCGGCAAUCGGGGUUCGAAUCCCCGUAGGGUCACCA
RNAcentral lists this transfer RNA (75 nucleotides) under Candidatus Gracilibacteria bacterium CG17_big_fil_post_rev_8_21_14_2_50_48_13. RNAcentral's name for it is "tRNA-Glu". It matches the Rfam family "tRNA". From Rfam's summary of the family: Transfer RNA (tRNA) molecules are approximately 80 nucleotides in length. Their secondary structure includes four short double-helical elements and three loops (D, anti-codon, and T loops). Further hydrogen bonds mediate the characteristic L-shaped molecular structure. tRNAs have two regions of fundamental functional importance: the anti-codon, which is responsible for specific mRNA codon recognition, and the 3' end, to which the tRNAs corresponding amino acid is attached (by aminoacyl-tRNA synthetases). tRNAs cope with the degeneracy of the genetic code in two manners: having more than one tRNA (with a specific anti-codon) for a particular amino acid; and 'wobble' base-pairing, i.e. permitting non-standard base-pairing at the 3rd anti-codon position. The record is from RNAcentral. Lineage: Bacteria; Candidatus Altimarinota.